RNAcentral lists this transfer RNA (58 nucleotides) under Neotoma lepida (desert woodrat). It matches the Rfam family "tRNA", at positions 8 to 63 of the family's 71-position model. Rfam says of the family: Transfer RNA (tRNA) molecules are approximately 80 nucleotides in length. Their secondary structure includes four short double-helical elements and three loops (D, anti-codon, and T loops). Lineage: Eukaryota; Metazoa; Chordata; Mammalia; Rodentia; Cricetidae. RNAcentral also lists the same sequence under 1 other name. The record is from Rfam by way of RNAcentral.
UGGCUCAGAGGUUAAGAGCACUGGCUGCUCUUCCAGAGAACCUGGGUUCAAUUCCCAG